GUCCACGCCGUAAACGAUGCGCACUAGGUAUGGGAGGCUCUCACGCCGACCGUGCCGUAGAAAUUGAUAAGUGCGCCGCCUGGGGAGUACGGCCGCAAGGCUAAAACUCAAAGGAAUUGACGGGGCUCACACAAGCGGUGGAGCAUGUGGAUUAAUUCGAAGCAACGCGAAGAACCUUACCUGGGUUUGACAUGCACGGAUGCCCUCUUGGAAACAGGAGUAAGCUGCUUCGGUGAAACGUGCACAGGUGCUGCAUGGCUGUCGU
RNAcentral lists this ribosomal RNA (265 nucleotides) under uncultured bacterium. Its description in RNAcentral is "partial 16S ribosomal RNA". It matches the Rfam family "Bacterial small subunit ribosomal RNA", at positions 793 to 1055 of the family's 1533-position model. The record is from RNAcentral.